Hevea brasiliensis (rubber tree) is the source of this 497-nucleotide long non-coding RNA. RefSeq lists it as uncharacterized. The transcript is spliced from 2 exons. NCBI's taxonomy places the organism in Eukaryota, Viridiplantae, Streptophyta, Magnoliopsida, Malpighiales, Euphorbiaceae. The record is from RefSeq and is a predicted model, not a curated record.
AUUCAACGAGACUUGAUGGGUUAUCUGUGGAAGGAUUUGAUGCGGGUGAAAUGGAGAGGAAAUGGAUUGAGCAUGGAGGAGUGGAGAGAGUAAGUAAUUAAGGGGGAGACAAAAGAAGGAGACGCAAAGAGAAAGCUGCCAAAAUUUUGAAACCCCUCUCUGUUUCUCUCUCUCUCUCUCUGGGAAUAGCCGAACAGGACAUGAAUACACAAUCCGAUACAUAUAGAGCAAUGUUGGGCAUUGGCAUUUGCAUGGAGACCGGCAAGUGUAGGUCACUACCUACAGUAACAAGUCAAUUGAUUGGCUCUGUUUGUUUGUAAUCCUGUUUUUCUCGUUUCUAAUUUCUGAUAGGACAGUAGGACACUGUCUUUACUCUCAUGUUAUGCUUCACCGACCUGAACCUUUGUCUUUCCUUCAAGUGUACAAAGACAAAAUAAAACCCAAAAUUUCCCACAUGGAUGUGGGUGGGUCACCUUAUCAAGGGCACCUUUGAUUCA